Brugia malayi is the source of this 77-nucleotide non-coding RNA. NCBI's taxonomy places the organism in Eukaryota, Metazoa, Nematoda, Chromadorea, Rhabditida, Onchocercidae. The record is from RefSeq and is a predicted model, not a curated record.
AAUUUCCGGAAACAACCCAACUAUUUUGCAGUCUUUCUGGUGUGACUGCAAAUUAUUUGGGUUGCUUCUGGUCAUUA